ACCUUGAUAACGCCGAAUUCGAUUAAGAAGCGGAGGACCCGUUCCUUUGGGGUGAAUUGCUAUGCAACGGGCAUGCUCGCAGCCCGAACCCGUCAGCUAACUUCGCAGGCGUAGGGGGCUCAAGGU
Molecule: small RNA, 126 nt
Filed under: Sulfobacillus thermosulfidooxidans
Lineage: Bacteria; Bacillati; Bacillota; Clostridia; Eubacteriales; Clostridiales Family XVII. Incertae Sedis
Also listed under: 1 other name
Description: c-di-AMP sequence
Rfam family: c-di-AMP riboswitch aptamer (ydaO/yuaA leader)
About the family: This family represents a conserved RNA structure found upstream of the ydaO and yuaA genes in Bacillus subtilis and related genes in other bacteria.
Source: RNAcentral